This 599-nucleotide small RNA is filed under the name Pongo abelii (Sumatran orangutan). Its description in RNAcentral is "processed transcript". The record is from RNAcentral. Lineage: Eukaryota; Metazoa; Chordata; Mammalia; Primates; Hominidae.
AUUUGGGGAUAUUCCCUGCCCAAAAAAUUCCUGGAAAAUUGACUAGUAUUAAGUGUGAGUAAAAGGUGUCCACUUUUUUUUAAGUUUUGAUUUUAGUUUUGUCUUGGAUAGUAUUUGGCAAGAUUUAGCCUAGAAAUUAUGUAGUAUUUAUUACAUAAGAAUCAAAAUUGCUUUGUUACUGGGCUGGUUUCAAAGUUUAGAACUCAUUUCUAUGUAUCAAAAUCGGGUUUUGUUUUUUUUUGAUUUUUUUUUUUUUUUAAUUCUUAAAUGGUAAAUAUGCCAUUGUGAAAUGAAAUCUCAACUCCAAAAGUUUACCCUUUUACUAACUGGAGUAAAUGUACACUUACAAAGUCUUUAGCUGUAGCCAUUAGUAGUAAAGAAUUUGGACCUAGGCUGUGUAAGCAAGCCUUUCCAGGGCCACUAUUUAAUGGCAAACCAGUGACACUGGUGUUGAUACAAAAUAAGAAAUAAAUUUUCCCUUAGAUAAAGCUUUCUGUGUUUUGACAGUGCCAGUUUAGAAUGGCUAUAAUGCUGCUCUGCCUUCUACAGCUUGCUGCACCACUCUGUAGUUACUCUAUUACCAUACAUUUCUAUCUUUU